This 497-nucleotide ribosomal RNA is filed under the name uncultured bacterium. Its description in RNAcentral is "partial 16S ribosomal RNA". It matches the Rfam family "Bacterial small subunit ribosomal RNA", at positions 28 to 507 of the family's 1533-position model. The record is from RNAcentral.
GAUGAACGCUGGCGGCGUGCCUAAUACAUGCAAGUCGAGCGAACGGACGAGACGCUUGCUUUUCUGAUGUUAGCGGCGGACGGGUGAGUAACACGUGGAUCACCUACUUAUAAGACUGGGAUAACUUCGGGAAACCGGAGCUAAUCCCGGAUAAUAUUUUGAACCGCAUGGUUCAAAAGUGAAAGACGGUCUUGCUGUCACUUCUAGAUGGAUCUGGGCUGCAUUAGGUAGUUGGUAAGGUAACGGAUUUCCAGGGGAACGAUGCAUAGCCGACCUGAGAGGCUGAUCGGCCACACUGGAACGGGGACACGGUCCAUACGCCUACGGGAGGCAGCAGUAGGGAAUCUUCCGCAAAGGGCGAAAGCCUUACGGAGCAACGCCGCGUGAGUGAUGAAGGUCUUCGGAUCGUAAAACUCUGUUAUUAGGUAAGAACAUAUUUGUAAUUAACUGUGCACAUCUUGACGGUACCUAAUCAGAAAGCCACGGCUAACUACGUG